This 252-nucleotide ribosomal RNA is filed under the name uncultured bacterium. RNAcentral's name for it is "partial 16S ribosomal RNA". It matches the Rfam family "Bacterial small subunit ribosomal RNA", at positions 524 to 776 of the family's 1533-position model. The record is from RNAcentral.
UACGGAGGAUGCGAGCGUUAUCCGGAUUUAUUGGGUUUAAGGGGCGCGUAGGCGGAUCGUUAAGUCAGUGGUCAAAUUGAGGGGCUCAACCCCUUCCCGCCAUUGAAACUGGCGAUCUUGAGUGGAAGAGAAGUAUGCGGAAUGCGUGGUGUAGCGGUGAAAUGCAUAGAUAUCACGCAGAACCCCGAUUGCGAAGGCAGCAUGCCGGCUUCCUACUGACGCUGAAGCACGAAAGCGUGGGGAUCGAACAGG